RNAcentral lists this ribosomal RNA (1129 nucleotides) under Kocuria sp. RNAcentral describes it as "bacterial SSU rRNA". It matches the Rfam family "Bacterial small subunit ribosomal RNA", at positions 327 to 1464 of the family's 1533-position model. The record is from RNAcentral. Lineage: Bacteria; Bacillati; Actinomycetota; Actinomycetes; Micrococcales; Micrococcaceae.
CCGGCCCAGCUCCUACGGGAGGCAGCAGUGGGGAAUAUUGCACAAUGGCGGAAGCCUGAUGCAGCGACCCCGCGUGAGGGAUGACGGCCUUCGGGUUGUAAACUCUUUCAGUAGGGAAGAAGCGAGAGUGACGGUACCUGCAGAAGAAGCGCCGGCUAACUACGUGCCAGCAGCCGCGGUAAUACGUAGGGCGCAAGCGUUGUCCGGAAUUAUUGGGCGUAAAGAGCUCGUAGGCGGUUUGUCGCGUCUGCUGUGAAAGCCCGGGGCUCAACCCCGGGUCUGCAGUGGGUACGGGCAGACUAGAGUGCAGUAGGGGAGACUGGAAUUCCUGGUGUAGCGGUGAAAUGCGCAGAUAUCAGGAGGAACACCGAUGGCGAAGGCAGGUCUCUGGGCUGUUACUGACGCUGAGGAGCGAAAGCAUGGGGAGCGAACAGGAUUAGAUACCCUGGUAGUCCAUGCCGUAAACGUUGGGCACUAGGUGUGGGGGACAUUCCACGUUUUCCGCGCCGUAGCUAACGCAUUAAGUGCCCCGCCUGGGGAGUACGGCCGCAAGGCUAAAACUCAAAGGAAUUGACGGGGGCCCGCACAAGCGGCGGAGCAUGCGGAUUAAUUCGAUGCAACGCGAAGAACCUUACCAAGGCUUGACAUUCACCGGACCGCUCCAGAGAUGGGGUUUCCCUUCGGGGUCGGUGGACAGGUGGUGCAUGGUUGUCGUCAGCUCGUGUCGUGAGAUGUUGGGUUAAGUCCCGCAACGAGCGCAACCCUCGUUCUAUGUUGCCAGCACGUGAUGGUGGGGACUCAUAGGAGACUGCCGGGGUCAACUCGGAGGAAGGUGGGGAUGACGUCAAAUCAUCAUGCCCCUUAUGUCUUGGGCUUCACGCAUGCUACAAUGGCCGGUACAAAGGGUUGCGAUACUGUGAGGUGGAGCUAAUCCCAAAAAGCCGGUCUCAGUUCGGAUUGAGGUCUGCAACUCGACCUCAUGAAGUCGGAGUCGCUAGUAAUCGCAGAUCAGCAACGCUGCGGUGAAUACGUUCCCGGGCCUUGUACACACCGCCCGUCAAGUCACGAAAGUUGGUAACACCCGAAGCCGGUGGCCUAACCCCUUUGUGGGAGGGAGCCGUCGAAGGUG